GAUGAAGAACGCAGCGAAAUGCGAUAAGUAAUGUGAAUUGCAGAAUUCAGUGAAUCAUCGAAUCUUUGAACGCACCUUGCGCUCCUUGUUAUUCUGAGGAGCAUGCCUGUUUGAGUAUCAUAAAAUUGUCAACUGUGUCACUUUUAUAAGUGAUUUACAGAUUGGAUAUGGGAGUUUUUGCAGGCCUAGUUUGUCAGCUCUCCUGAAACACAUUAGCAGUGCCUUGUUGGUCCUUGGGUGUGAUAAUUUAUCUAUGCCUUGACGUGUACCUUCAUAAAGGUUGUGCUGCUUCCAAUGGUCUUUGGACACAUUUAUUGAAGAUUUGAUCUCAAAUCAGGCAGGACUACCCGCUGAACUUAAGCAUAUCAAUAAGCGGAGGA
Molecule: unclassified non-coding RNA, 380 nt
Filed under: soil metagenome
Description: partial contains 5.8S ribosomal RNA, internal transcribed spacer 2, and large subunit ribosomal RNA
Rfam family: 5.8S ribosomal RNA (bases 1-120)
Source: RNAcentral